UACGAAGGGGGCUAGCGUUGUUCGGAUUUACUGGGCGUAAAGCGCACGUAGGCGGAUUGUUAAGUCAGGGGUGAAAUCCCGGAGCUCAACUCCGGAACUGCCUUUGAUACUGGCAAUCUUGAGGCUGGAAGAGGUUGGUAGAAUUCCCAGUGUAGAGGUGAAAUUCGUAGAUAUUGGGAAGAAUACCAGUGGCGAAGGCGGCCAACUGGUCCAGAUCUGACGCUGAGGUGCGAAAGCGUGGGGAGCAAACAGU
This 253-nucleotide ribosomal RNA is filed under the name uncultured prokaryote. RNAcentral describes it as "partial 16S ribosomal RNA". It matches the Rfam family "Bacterial small subunit ribosomal RNA", at positions 524 to 776 of the family's 1533-position model. The record is from RNAcentral.